RNAcentral lists this ribosomal RNA (253 nucleotides) under uncultured bacterium. RNAcentral's name for it is "partial 16S ribosomal RNA". It matches the Rfam family "Bacterial small subunit ribosomal RNA", at positions 524 to 776 of the family's 1533-position model. The record is from RNAcentral.
UACGGAGGGUGCAAGCGUUAUCCGGAUUUACUGGGUUUAAAGGGUGUGUAGGCGGGCUAUUAAGUCAGCGGUGAAAUCUCCGGACUCAACCUGGAAACUGCCAUUGAUACUAUUAGUCUUGAAUUUUGUUGAGGUAGGCGGAAUAAGUCAUGUAGCGGUGAAAUGCAUAGAUAUGACUUAGAACACCAAUUGCGAAGGCAGCUUGCUAAACAAAUAUUGACGCUGAGGCACGAAAGCGUGGGGAUCAAACAGG